ACCUGGCUGGCUCAGUCAGAAGAGCGUGUAACUCUUAAUCUCAGGGUCAUGAGUUCAAGCCCCAUGUUGGGUG
Molecule: transfer RNA, 73 nt
Organism: Felis catus (domestic cat)
Lineage: Eukaryota; Metazoa; Chordata; Mammalia; Carnivora; Felidae
Rfam family: tRNA
About the family: Transfer RNA (tRNA) molecules are approximately 80 nucleotides in length. Their secondary structure includes four short double-helical elements and three loops (D, anti-codon, and T loops). Further hydrogen bonds mediate the characteristic L-shaped molecular structure. tRNAs have two regions of fundamental functional importance: the anti-codon, which is responsible for specific mRNA codon recognition, and the 3' end, to which the tRNAs corresponding amino acid is attached (by aminoacyl-tRNA synthetases). tRNAs cope with the degeneracy of the genetic code in two manners: having more than one tRNA (with a specific anti-codon) for a particular amino acid; and 'wobble' base-pairing, i.e. permitting non-standard base-pairing at the 3rd anti-codon position.
Source: Rfam